CAGUGCGCAUGCGCUGUAUCCCUGCCCUAUCCCUUUCUCCCUCACCGUCCUGAAAACUGUACCGGCACAACUUACUCAGAGCAAUCUACAGUCUGCCACUGAACAGCGUGGUCUGCAAGGAAAAGAGGAGACAGGAGCAAGGGGUCAGUCAGAAUGGAUGGCAGUUUGCUACAGAAAAUGCUAGCUAGUCUGAAAGGAACAAGGACUUUGAGACCAGCAAACGCAGAGUCCAAGUGCCAGAAGGCAUCGUAAUAGCUGUGACUUCCUCAGGCAGGGCGGAAGCACUGGCCCACUGCACAGCAUCCCGCAACGAUGCACUGAUAUCCGGUAGCUCAACAGUGUCUCUGAACCUGCUCUUGACUUCAAGUUUAUCUGAAUGAUGCUGUCGCCUGGCUGCACUAUGACUUCUUCCUGCUGUAGACUUAACGCAGAGCACUAGCAGGACCGGUUAAUCUCCACAUCAUCAGUUGAUCUCCACAGCAUUCGGAGAUGACCUCACUGAAACUACUGAGUAGAAGAGCAGUUCCACGCUAGUGGUUCUGAGGUCUCCAAACUGCAUCCACCCAGGGAUUCUUAUUUACAGUGUAGAGUCUUUCUAAACUGCAAUUCCCGAGUCUAAGGCCAGGAAUAUGCACUUUCAGCUACUCCCCGAUGAUUUGGUGUACAUCAGCACUUUCUCCUCCAUGAGAAGAGACACUACAGGCUCUCAGUCUUCAGGUAAAAGGAAGAGUGAGCAGGGCCUCUCCCACUGGGUCACAGUGAAGAUUACGUGAGGAAAAGCCUGGAAGGUUUUCAUCGCUGCAGCUACCAGAGGACGGGCCUUCAGGCUCAGGGAAGAGAAGCCCUGUGGCAUAUGCACAGCUGCUGGUCUUUCCACAGAGCCUCUUUUGAUUGAAUUAGCCCUCCCUCCUCCCUCCAGGCCAGCCGAGGGCACUGCUGGGCCACGGGCCAGGCAUCUUCCACUGGGGCACUGAGUUCUCAGGUUCUCUUGAAGCAGUUUUUAAGGAAAAAAAAAAAAAAGAGGUAGAGAUAAUAAUAAUAAUAAAAGCAAACCCCUAUUUUUGUGUGGUUCAGCUAAGAAAGCCAACAAUUAAACCAUGCAAUUUAUUGGUAGGAUUUCUCAGGGUAAGACUUAAAAGUCUGCUACGAGAUUUAGACAGUUCAUUAGGGUGUAAAAUGGAAUGAUCUUAUCCAUCCAGGAUUAAAGCACACUUCCUGAGUGUGACAGAGCGUUUCCAGGGAGAGUAAGUGCCAUGAAGUCUUCGAUCCGCUUGCCCACUGUGGCUCACAAUUCCUACUCCACUGAUGUCUAACCCAUUCAGCCGUCCCUGCCCACCAGGGUGUGAGGUUUUGAAACUGAGAGCUGGGCCUGGAAACAGAAAGAGGCUCCCUCUGGGUACAGGAAGCGAUGGCAGUGGGAAAGCAUGAAAGAGGCCAGAAGCAAGUCACUUACAUGGGCAACAGACACAAACUCUAAACUCAACGUUAACGAUAAGCCAGUGUGUUAAAAAGCCAAGCUGUACCUACCUACCACCAGCCCAUCACUUUUGGUUGUCUUGUCUGUUCUCAUUGUGGAAUGAAGGAGUCGGAGGUCAGCAAGGCUGAAUGAUCACCAUCUGGAUGCCGAAGCCUUGGGCUACCUGGGUUUGUAUCUUGUCUCUGCUAGCUAGCCAUCAAACUUUGGGCUAAGUUAAAAUUCUUUCUGUGCCCCAGAUUUCUUAUUUACAAAAUGGGGGUAAUAAUGGCAGGUAACUAACUCAUAGAAUUACUGCGAAGACUACAUGAACUAAAAUGUGUACAGAGUCACAGUGGUAUCUGGCAGUUUUCUUGGUUGGCGCUAGGGCUUGGGAUGAGUCAGCCUUCAUUGAAAACUCAUCCUAGAAAUGUGGGAUGUAUUCAAUCCCUACCAUAUGCUUCUUUCCACAAAACAGGUCACCAAAGUUUCAAGGGGAACUGCAUAGCCAUUGCUCAGUCACUUUGCAGGUGCUGACCAGUUUAACCUCACAAGACCUCAGCAACAGCAAAGGCUUUGCACACCGGGCACCUUCACAAACGUGAACAGAAAGCUUCUAGAACAAGCUAACCAGUUAACCAGUCUGUGGCCCGUUCCUGACGCGCUUUAAAAGCUAUGCGAUGGGAGUGGGGAGAUGGUACAGCUCCCAUUGCAUAGCCUCCCAAACGUGAGAACCUGAGUUUGUAUCCCCAGGACCCAUGUAACAGUUAGGUGCAGCGGGGCACAUUGGGAAUGGGAGGCGGAGAUGGGAGGAUCCUGGAAGCCCACAGGGCAGGCCUGCGGCACACAAUGGUCAGACUAAUACAGAAACUCUUUAAACACUAGACAGGAAAGAGUUUACGAGGAAUGGACAGCACUGGUCGUUUAAGCACGUAGACAGGAAGGAGAGAAAGAGGAAUGGUCCUGGCCGUUCUAAAGCCACAGACGGACUCCCUUUUCCACUCUGCAAGAAGCAGCACCGCAUCCUUUCCUUGACCUCUGCUUUUAGACUGCUCUUCCAAAAUCCUAAACUUCUAAUAACAUCCUAUAAAAAUAAACCACAGGACAGCCCAUUCCAGAGACUGGAUUCCCUCCAUCCCAGGCAACCUUUAAAGCAAAAGCAGGCAGUUAAAAUAAAACUAAACAAAUAAAAUAGACAUAAGUUCAAAAAUUUUAAAAAGGUCUGGCUUAGCAUCCCAUGAGGUAUGUGAUUUUGUUAGUUUUUUUUAUGUGAAACGCGACUUCAUGCAUUUUAUUUGAAUAUUGAGAUGCAAUCAUAAAGGCGACUGGAACAUUUGUUAUAUGCUGGUAUCCCUGAAAGCAUGUGGCCCCCAAGUGUCCCCAGUACACUGGCUUGUUCUCAUUAUGUCCCCCCUUCUACCGCUCCCCCGGCAGCUUCCUCCUGCACUCUGCAGGGACU
This is a long non-coding RNA of Mesocricetus auratus (golden hamster), 2912 nucleotides long. RefSeq lists it as uncharacterized. The transcript has 4 exons. Lineage: Eukaryota; Metazoa; Chordata; Mammalia; Rodentia; Cricetidae. The record is from RefSeq and is a predicted model, not a curated record.